AUAUCAAUAAGCGGAGGAAAAGAAACUAACAAGGAUUCCCCUAGUAACUGCGAGUGAAGCGGGAAAAGCUCAAAUUUAAAAUCUGGCGGUCUUGCGGCCGUCCGAGUUGUAAUCUGGAGAAGCGUUUAUCCGCGUCGGACCGUGUACAAGUCUUCUGGAAGGGAGCGUCGUAGAGGGUGAGAAUCCCGUCUUUGACACGGACAACCGGUGCUUUUGUGAUGCGCUCUCGAAGAGUCGAGUUGUUUGGGAAUGCAGCUCAAAAUGGGUGGUAAAUUCCAUCUAAAGCUAAAUAUUGGCGAGAGACCGAUAGCGAACAAGUACCGUGAGGGAAAGAUGAAAAGCACUUUGGAAAGAGAGUUAAACAGUACGUGAAAUUGCUGAAAGGGAAACGUUUGAAGUCAGUCGCGUCGGCCGAGACUCAACCUUGCUUCUGCUCGGUGCACUUCUCGGUUGACGGGUCAGCAUCACUUUUGGCUGCGGGAAAAAGGUCAGGGGAAUGUGGCACCUCCGGGUGUGUUAUAGCCUCUGGCUGCAUACCGUGGCUGGGAGUGAGGAACUCAGCACGCCUUCAUGGCGGGGCUUCGGCCACCUUCGUGCUUAGGAUGCUGGCGUAAUGGCUUUAAACGA
Molecule: ribosomal RNA, 627 nt
Filed under: uncultured fungus
Lineage: Eukaryota; Fungi
Description: eukaryotic LSU rRNA
Rfam family: Eukaryotic large subunit ribosomal RNA
Source: RNAcentral